UCGCCCUUCCCGCUUCUCGAGAAGGAAUGUGAAAACAUAACUUUUUGGAUUUUAAAUGAAAAGAAAACGAAAAGGCAUCCUAAUUAACCCACGGCCCGAACCAAAUCCCGUCAAAAAAAAGAAAGAAAAUCCCAAAGAGAGGGACCAGCCGUCUUCCUCCUCCGCUCCCCCAACCUCCGACCCCAUCGCCGCCGCCGCCGACCUCCUCUUCUCCCCCACUGCCACCACACCAGCAGCCGCGACCAUGGAGGUUCGGCCCUCUCUUUCUCGCGCCCCAAACCCUAGCUGCGGCGGGGCAAACGCAUCGCAUCGCUCCACAUCCGAGCACCCCCAAGCAGCGCCGCCGCGUCCACCUCUCUCACCCAGCACCCGCAUCCAUGGCGAUCCGCGGCCAUGGAGUCCUUCCUUGUAGGUAGGGAGAGACAGUCGCGCCACGCGCCGGGAGAGGAAAAAGGACUCCUCCUUCCUUCCACCCCCAACCACCGCCGCCAGGAUCCGCAAGAAGAGCAACAUCCACAAGGGGAGGAACAAGGCCGACAGCCACUGGCAUGCGCCGGGAGAGGCAGAGGAGUCCUCCAUUUGCUUCUUCCCGUCCCCAUCUCCUCUCUCUGUUCGGCUCCUCUCUCUGUUCUUUCCUUCAGAUUCAAACACGCACCAGCAGAUUCCUGUAUUCAUUAUUAUUAUGUGGCUCAAAAGUUGAAGCUUGCUGUGCCUGCAAUUAGGGAUUGAUUGAUUGUUGCAGAAUUGGCCAUGGCUUACGACAAGGCGGUGCGAGUAGGGGCUGACCAACUUCGAGCCCAAGGCAGGAGCAUGUGACGGUGACCUUGGCCUGCAACCUUGGGGUGGCAAGCCUGUUGUCUGCUCUUCCCCGACAUCCUUCGCUCGGUCGCACCUCGUGGACAUGGUUGCUGGUUCAGUUGGUGCAAGGUUGUAGGUUCGGCCAACUCUUGUUUCCGUCACCGGUGACAGCGUGGUUUGACCUCGGCUACAAAUAAUUAAAGGGCUUACGACAAGGCGGUGUGAGUAGUUGGUGACCAAAUUCGAGCCCAAGGCAGCAGCAUGCGACGACGACCUUGGCCUGCAACUCUUCGGGUGGCAAGCCUGUUCUUUGCUCUUCCCCGAGAUCCUUCGCGUGGUCACGCCUCCUGGCCAUGGCUGCCGGCUCAGUUUGUGCAUGGUCGUAGGCUCUGCCAACUCUUGUCUCUGUCAUCGGUGAUUGUGUGGUUCGGCCACGGCUACAAACAAUUAACGGCUCGUCAGUUCGACCGGAACGACACUGCAUUAAAUUCAAACAGAAGCCUUUGUUGGCUGCGGGCUGGGCAGGGUGAGCGUGCGUGGCUUGGAGGAUGCUAGAGCAUGCGAAGCACUGAGGCCAGACAGGGUGAAAGCUUGUUUUUAGGGAAGGCGUAGCAGUGCAAUUGCUGCAGGCUAUUGAAUUUGACCGGAAUGACGCCACAUUGUUGGAUGUGGACCGGGCAAGGUGAGCGUGCCAAGCACCGAGGACAAACUUGGUGAAAGCUUUCUUUCAAGGAAGGCACAACUAUGCGCUUGCUGCAGGCUCGAGUUUGACCGGAACGUCGUCGCAUUGCUUUCAAACAGAAGAAGCCUUUGUUGGCUGUGGACUGGGCAAGGUGAGUGUGCCUUUGGAGGACGCUAGAGCAUGCCAAGCACUGAGGCGAGACUGGGUGAAAGCUUUCUUUUAGGGAUGGCACAACUACGCUUGUUGCAGAGUAUGGGCCAAGUGGAUGACGUCGGCUUUGGUGAUGUCUCCACGCCUCCUCGGCAUGGAUGGUGUUGACUGUUGUGGCGUCUUCCACAUGGCUGGAUGGCUAGCUACCCGUGAAGCGCUUGUUGGCUGUGGACUUGCAAGGUGAGUGCCUUGGAUGACGCUAGAGCAUGCCAAGCACUCAGGCUAGACUGGACAAAAGAUUGUUUUCAGGGAAGGCACAACGUUGCUUGCUGCAGAAGUGGCCGAUUCUUUGAGGUCGCCUAACAUUUUACAAGCUUGAGUUUUGCAACUGCGGUGGUGGUGGCUUAUUUUACAUAUUUCAGCGUUGUUGACUUGAUGCAUGCUUUGUGCUUCAGAUUUGAAGCACAACACUGACAAUAAUAGCCGCACGGCCCAUAGUUUGGUGUUGGUGCCACAUCGGCGUUGGCUCCCAUGAAUGAUGACUCUGCUACCACUACUUAUGCUAUUUAGUUUGACUCGAACGACGCUACAUUGCUUUGGAACGGAAUCUUUGUUGGAUGUGGACUUGGCAUGGUUAACGUGCCUUAGAGGACGCUAGAGCAUUGGCAAGCACUGAGGCCAGACUCGACGAAAGCUUGCGACAGGAUGCAAUCCCGGGCCAGCCUUCAUAUAUUAGUUGGAUGUGGACCACACAAGAUGAGCGUGCCUUGGAGGAUGGUAGAGCAUGCCUAGCACUGAGGCCAGACUGGGCGAAAGCUUGCUAUGUGGGACAUCACACCUGCACUUGCUGCAGAGUGUGGGCCAAGUGAACGACGUCGGCUUUGGUGAUGUCUCCCUGGCAUGGACGGUGUUGACUGGCGACGUCUUCCACAUGGAUGAGGAUGACUGGCUACCUGUGGCCCCCCUGCCCCUGCCUCCUAUCCAGCGUGUGGACAGGCUUUAUUGUGCUGACGGGUGGCUACUUCCUCCUCCCCUCCUAGCUAAGCCAACGUGGUGAGCUUCCCCUCUCUACCCCAGGAUAUGAAUAGCACGCGCAGUUUGCAUGUUUUGUUUUUUGGGGUGACCUGAGAGCAUAAACGUGAGUAGGGUUUUAGAGUAGACGACUCUCUUGUGUUGGUUUUGCCUUGAGAGGGGCAACCUUUCAUUUUGGCUUGGAAUUUUGGUUGUUACAUGGAGCUCACCUCAAAUGUAUGUGUAUAUGAGCCUAUAUAUGCUACAAAUCUUUGGUUGUUAUCUUAAGUUUCUCCCAUCAGAUGCAAAGAAAUGUGAUUGUGAUCUGUAUAUUGAUAGUACCACGUCUAUAUUUAUUUUCCGCUGCAUGAAAUUCCAUAAUGCACAUAUUCAUUGUUCUUCAUGCUUUUGGAGAUAUGCUGAACUAUUUCUUUGCCUUAUAUUGCUUGUUCACAUUAUACUAUACACACGCAUCAGUCUUGUGUUUGAAGUGGCUACUAAAUGUGCUGACCGCACAAAGUUACUAUUUUUUUAAGUGAGGGAAAUAUUGGAAGCUCUCAGUGAAGGCAUUUUUGCAAAAUGGCGUGUUUGGGUCUAAAUAAAGAGCCAACCAGAGGUAGUUAUUGUUUUCUUUGAGUUGGGUUCAGAUAGCUUUAACAAAUUAUUUCUGUAAAGAUGUGUCAAGUGCCUUUUGGAGCAAGUUUAGUAUAUAUUCAGGUCAUGUGAUUUUGUAUUAUUCCAUACUAGUCACCUAUGUUAAGUCCAGGUUCACUAGGAGUGAUCGGAAUUUGCACAAGCACCUCCCUGUGUUCAAAUAAGGUAUGUUUUGUAUUGGCCAAAUGUUAAGUGCAUCCUUGUCUGUUUUGAGCUUCAAUAAAACUUUUUCAGGGGCUUGCUGUGCAGGGUGUACUUAAAUAACCAGGGGUUCAUUUUACAAAGUCUUUUGAUCUUUUUGCAUCCUUUAUUGAUUGAAUCGUAAACCAUGUACUUCACUGUGUUCACGUGUAGCAUGAGCAUGACUAGUUUCCAUACCUUUUAUAUGAUUGUUUGUUCUCUGUGAUGCCUCCUUCCUUGAUUAACAGCCUAAAGCUGUUGCCUUGUGACCAUGAGGUCACGAGCAUUGUUUAUAAAGCGUCCCGCUUUAGACGCGCCGCUUAAGCGGCAGGGCGCCCUUGCAGCGCCUUAGAUAUUUGCCCGCUUUAGGCGCUUAGUCGUCGCUUAAACGUUAGAGCAUGUUGUGCUCGCUUUAGGUUGUUUACCGCCUUAUAAACCAUGGUCAUGGGUUCGAGUCCUGGAAACAGUCUCAUGCAGAAAUGAAGGGAAAUGCUGUGUACUAUAGACCCAUAGUGGUCAGACCCUUCCCCGGACCCUGCUCAAGUGGGAGCUACGUGCACCGGGCUGCCCUUUAUUUUCUGCGAUGCCUCCUUCCUUGAUUAACAGCCUAAACAGAUCAUAUAUUCUGACAAAGCAUGCGAAAAUCUGAAUUGAACAUCGGUCCACGAUGGCUUUCAGUGGGUCUCUCGUCUUAGCUUUCCUGCUUGAAAUGUAAACCAUGUACUUGUUGGGUUCAUUGUUUGCGUAAGUAUGACCACUUUUCUUACCUUUGCAUGCUUCUGUGUUUGAUGUGCUGUAUCAAAAGGACAGUAUAUGAGUAAGGUUAGCUUUUGAAAAAGGCCUCCUUCCUUGAUUACACAUCCUAAACUGAUCAUAUAUUCUGAGCAAACACCCUUCCAUGGUUUCCGUUAUAGUGUUUUGUUUUUUGUUUUCUUGCAUUGAAAUGUAAAACAUAUGCUUUACUUGUAUCAUGUGUUAACUUAGUUGUUUGCGGUGAUGAAUCACAAGGACUGUAUAUGAGUAAGUUGGCUCUUGGAAAAGGCCAACUUCCUUGAUUAGAAAUCCUAAACUGAGACCAUUCCCUUCUUGUGAAAUUGCCUUUGGUUUAUGUUUUGAACUCUUUCUUUGUAUUUUAGGUAACAAGGGAAGAGCAGCCGCACAUGGAGCCUUUGGUUUCCCCUUUGUAUGUCUCCAAUAAGCCAAAGGUGAAGGCCAGACACGGGAUGCCUGGGUCAUCGUCACUUCCGAGCAAAAAGACAAGAGCAGGAACUGCAGAUAUAGCAAACACUGGUUGGAAAGGAGGAACGCCGCGGAAGCUCAGGCCAGGCACAGGCAGGGCCUUGCAUUGUGAUGUGGCUGUUGUGAAACAGUAUGACUGGCCAAUUUUUUGUUUGGCAUUUGGGCUGUGUGGUGGGCUUCCAGAGAGAGAUGAAGUCAUCUACAUCGAGCAUACCAGUGAUUGGCAGUCAUGUUUCUACCGCAGCAAGCAAUGGAGGAUCAUCAAUCAUGUUUGUGUUUGUCUACGCCAAGACGCGCAGCAGCCACGGAUGGGAGUUUCCAUUUCACUUUUCUUAUUUGUAAUCCUUAAGCAUUGGGUUUGGAUGCUUGCUUGUAUAGAGGGAGCGAAUUCUGUUUCGGUUUAGAGCUUUUUGCUUUCACGAUAAAGCAGUGGCCUGAGGCCAGAAAAUUGGCUGUGUAUGUGUGUAGGCGAAUAAGGAUAAGAGGUUGAAGUAGUAGCCGGCUACUAGAUUGAAACAAGUUGUCUUUUGGAUAUCCUUCCUGGCAUAUGGCAU
Molecule: long non-coding RNA, 5268 nt
Organism: Triticum dicoccoides
Lineage: Eukaryota; Viridiplantae; Streptophyta; Magnoliopsida; Poales; Poaceae
Exons: 18
Source: RefSeq, a predicted model, not a curated record